This 1378-nucleotide ribosomal RNA is filed under the name uncultured bacterium. RNAcentral describes it as "bacterial SSU rRNA". It matches the Rfam family "Bacterial small subunit ribosomal RNA". The record is from RNAcentral.
AGAGUUUGAUCCUGGCUCAGAACGAACGCUGGUGGCGUGUCUUAUACAUGCAAGUCGAGCGGUGCAGCAAUGCAUAGCGGCGAACGGGUGAGUAACACGUAAGCAAUCUGCCCCCUACUUGGGAAUAGCCGUGCCAACGCGCGGAUAAUACCGAAUAUCGUGGCGUCCCGCAUGGGACGUUGACGAAAGAUUUAUCGGUAGGGGAUGAGCUUGCGUCCGAUUAGCUAGUUGGCGGGGCAACGGCCCACCAAGGCGACGAUCGGUAGCCGGCCUGAGAGGGCGAUCGGCCACAUUGGGACUGAGAUACGGCCCAGACUCCUACGGGAGGCAGCAGUAGGGAAUAUUGCACAAUGGGGGGAACCCUGAUGCAGCAACGCCACGUGUGGGAAGAAGCAUUUCGGUGUGUAAACCACUGUCGUGAGGGAAUAAUGCUCGGUCUCGGCCGAGUUGAAUGUACCUCGAAAGGAAGCACCGGCAAACUUCGUGCCAGCAGCCGCGGUAAUACGAGGGGUGCAAGCGUUGUUCGGAAUCACUGGGCGUAAAGGGAGCGUAGGCGGAGACGCAAGCAGUCUGUACAAUACCGGGGCCCAACCCCGGACCUGCAGACUGGACUGUGUCUCUUGGAUAGUUCAGGGGCAGGCGGAAUUCCUGGUGUAGCGGUGGAAUGCGUAGAGAUCAGGAAGAACACCGAUGGCGAAGGCAGCCUGCUGGGGACUCAUCGACGCUGAGGCUCGAAAGUGCGGGUAGCAAACAGGAUUAGAUACCCUGGUAGUCCGCACCGUAAAUGGAUGCAUACUGGGUGUCCGGGGCUCGCCCCGGGGUACCGAAAGCCAACGCGUUAAGUAAUCCACCUGGGGAGUACGUUCGCAAGAAUGAAACUCAAAGGAAUUGACGGGGACCCGCACAAGCGGUGGAGCAUGUGGUUUAAUUUGAAGCAACGCGAAGAACCUUACCUAGUCUUGACAUCCCAACGAAUUAAGGGUAAUGCCUUAAGUCUUCGGACGUUGGUGACAGGUGGUGCAUGGUUGUCGUCAGCUCGUGUCGUGAGAUGUUGGGUUAAGUCCCGCAACGAGCGCAACCCUUGUCCUUAGUAGCCAGCAGGUAAAGCUGGGCACUCUAGGGAGACUGCCAGGGAUAACCUGGAGGAAGGUGGGGAUGACGUCAAAUCAUCAUGCCCCUUAUGACUAGGGCUACACACGUGCUACAAUGGCGUAAACAAAGGGAAGCGAAGUGGUGACAUGGAGCGAAUCCCAAAAAUAACGUCCCAGUUCGGAUUGUAGUCUGCAACUCGACUACAUGAAGCUGGAAUCGCUAGUAAUCGCAGAUCAGAACGCUGCGGUGAAUACGUUCCCGGGUCUUGCACUCACCGCCGGUCAAG